RNAcentral lists this ribosomal RNA (598 nucleotides) under uncultured fungus. RNAcentral's name for it is "eukaryotic LSU rRNA". The stretch from base 248 to 398 matches the Rfam family "5.8S ribosomal RNA". Lineage: Eukaryota; Fungi. The record is from RNAcentral.
ACGCAGUUCGCCCUUCUUGGUCAUUUAGAGGAAGUAAAAGUCGUAACAGGUCUCCGUAGGUGAACCUGCGGAGGGAUCAUUACAGAGUUCAUGCCCCCGGGUAGAUCUCCCACCCACUGUUAUCACUACUCUCGUUGCUUUGGCGGCCGCUGGGCCCUGCCCGGCCGCCGGCCCCGGCUGGCGCGUGCCCGCCAAGACCUCACAGACUCUGAAUGUCAGUGUCGUCCGAGUAACUAUAUAAUCUUAAAACUUUCAACAACGGAUCUCUUGGUUCUGGCAUCGAUGAAGAACGAGCGAAAUGCGAUAAGUAAUGCGAAUUGCAGAAUUCAGUGAGUCAUCGAUCUUUGAACGCACAUUGCGCCCUGUGGUAUUCCGCAGGGCAUGCCUGUUGAGCGUCAUUUCAACCCUCAAGCCUCGCUUGGUGUUGGGCCCUGCCCGCGCGGCCGGCCCUAAAGAUAGUGGCGGCGCCGCCUGGCCCUCAGCGUAGUCAGCUCUCGCUCCAGGGUCCGGCGGCAGCCUGCCAGAACCCCCCAACUCGUGGUUGACCUCGGAUCAGGUAGGGAUACCCGCUGAACUUAAGCAUAUCAUAAGCGGAGGA